UACGAAGGGGGCUAGCGUUGUUCGGAUUUACUGGGCGUAAAGCGCACGUAGGCGGAUCGUUAAGUCGGGGGUGAAAUCCCGGGGCUCAACCUCGGAACUGCCUUUGAUACAGCAAGUCUUGAGUUCGAGAGAGGUGGGUGGAAUUCCUAGUGUAGAGGUGAAAUUCGUAGAUAUUAGGAAGAACACCGGUGGCGAAGGCGGGUCUCUGGGCCGUAACUGACGCUGAGGAGCGAAAGCGUGGGGAGCGAACAGG
RNAcentral lists this ribosomal RNA (253 nucleotides) under uncultured bacterium. RNAcentral describes it as "partial 16S ribosomal RNA". It matches the Rfam family "Bacterial small subunit ribosomal RNA", at positions 524 to 776 of the family's 1533-position model. The record is from RNAcentral.